Molecule: ribosomal RNA, 625 nt
Filed under: uncultured bacterium
Lineage: Bacteria
Description: bacterial SSU rRNA
Rfam family: Bacterial small subunit ribosomal RNA (bases 1-533)
Source: RNAcentral
CCUACGGGAGGCAGCAGUGAGGAAUAUUGGACAAUGGGCGCAAGCCUGAUCCAGCCAUGCCGCGUGCAGGAAGAAGCAUCUAUGGUGUGUAAACUGCUUUUGUACAGGAAGAAACACUCCCUCGUGAGGGAGCUUGACGGUACUGUAAGAAUAAGGACCGGCUAACUCCGUGCCAGCAGCCGCGGUAAUACGGAGGGUCCGAGCGUUAUCCGGAAUCAUUGGGUUUAAAGGGUCCGUAGGCGGUUUAAUAAGUCAGUGGUGAAAUCUGGUCGCUCAACGAUCAAACGGCCAUUGAUACUGUUAGACUUGAAUUAUAAGGAAGUAACUAGAAUAUGUAGUGUAGCGGUGAAAUGCUUAGAUAUUACAUGGAAUACCAAUUGCGAAGGCAGGUUACUACUUAUGGAUUGACGCUGAUGGACGAAAGCGUGGGGAGCGAACAGGAUUAGAUACCCUGGUAGUCCACGCCGUAAACGAUGGAUACUAGCUGUUCGGAGCAAUCUGAGUGNGUAGACGAAGUAGAUAAGUAUACCACCGUACGGGAGGUACGUUACGUCGAAGAAGAGAAACGUAAAGUAAGUAAGUUAGUAGACGUGAGAGAGACGACGACGACGACGAGGAGGAGGNG